Molecule: unclassified non-coding RNA, 377 nt
Filed under: uncultured Chlamydiales bacterium
Lineage: Bacteria; Pseudomonadati; Chlamydiota; Chlamydiia; Chlamydiales
Description: contains 16S-23S intergenic spacer region
Source: RNAcentral
UCCUGGUUAACCCAGGCAGUCUCAUUAGAGUCCCCGACCGAAUCGCUGGCAACUAAUGAUAAGGGUUGCGCUCGUUGCGGGACUUAACCCAACACCUCACGGCACGAGCUGACGACAGCCAUGCAGCACCUGUGCAAAGGCCCCGAAGGGAAUAUCCAUCUCUGAAUACGUCCUCUGCAUGUCAAGCCUGGGUAAGGUUCUUCGCGUUGCAUCGAAUUAAACCACAUGCUCCACUGCUUGUGCGGGUCCCCGUCAAUUCUUUUGAGUUUCACCCUUGCGAGUGUACUCCCCAGGCGGUAUACUUAACACGUUAGCUACGGCACAGCUGGGGUUGAGUCCAGCUACACCAAGUAUACAUCGUUUACGGCAAGGACUAC